RNAcentral lists this long non-coding RNA (596 nucleotides) under Marmota monax (woodchuck). Lineage: Eukaryota; Metazoa; Chordata; Mammalia; Rodentia; Sciuridae. The record is from RNAcentral.
CUUGUUGGGAAGUGUUUUCACUGAGCUGAGCCGCUUCCCUGUCCUGCGCCUCAGAGGCAGCCGUGGACACAGGGGGAAAUGGGACGCCUCUCCCCACCACCCAGUUGAGAGUUAGCGUCCUCCUUGCUCAGACAAGGAAACCUCCUGCCAGACCACACAGGCCCCCGUCUUGCCACCCCCGGGGCCCAAGGCAGGACUUUUCAGCUGUUGGAAAGACUUUGUCUCUUCUCCCUGUGCCGGAGGAGCCGGCAGCCCUGGGGGAGUCGGAGCUGUGUCCACUGGGAGGCGUGCUGGCCUGAGCUGCUAAGGAGGAAAAUAAGGCUGCAGCUGCCAUUUGCUCAGGUGGCUGGACUUACCUGAUUCAGAGACUCGCCCUGUGUUUUCCAGGACAUUCUACCUGUCCACAGCUUUUGCCAUCGACAUACUUUCGGCUGAGUGGCAUGGCGGUGAUAUCAAUCAAGGGAUUUUCCUUUGCCGUUUGUGUUCCUCCACUGGUUUCUUGGUAGCCAGUGUCUUCAGCUGUCCUACUGUGCUCCUUACAGCAUGAUGACCUUGGCUGUGUCCUUCAACUUUCUAGGUGAGUUUUACAGGUUGUG